UCCAUAAGUCAGGAUUCCAGUCACAGC
This 27-nucleotide non-coding RNA is filed under the name Homo sapiens (human). The record is from RNAcentral. Lineage: Eukaryota; Metazoa; Chordata; Mammalia; Primates; Hominidae.